RNAcentral lists this ribosomal RNA (196 nucleotides) under uncultured bacterium. RNAcentral's name for it is "partial 16S ribosomal RNA". It matches the Rfam family "Bacterial small subunit ribosomal RNA", at positions 337 to 525 of the family's 1533-position model. RNAcentral also lists the same sequence under 1 other name. The record is from RNAcentral.
UCCUACGGGAGGCAGCAGUGGGGAAUAUUGGACAAUGGGGGCAACCCCGAUCCAGCCAUGCCGCGUGUGUGAAGAAGGCUUUCGGGUUGUAAAGCACUUUCAGCGAGGAGGAAAGCGGUGUUGUUAAUACCAGCAUCGUGUGACGUUACUCGCAGAAGAAGCACCGGCAAACUCCGUGCCAGCAGCCGCGGUAAUA